UUCAAAUUGAGAGUUUGAUCCUGGCUCAGGAUGAACGCUGGCGGCGUGCCUAAUACAUGCAAGUCGAACGCUUUGUGGUUCAACUGAUUUGAAGAGCUUGCUCAGAUAUGACGAUGGACAUUGCAAAGAGUGGCGAACGGGUGAGUAACACGUGGGAAACCUACCUCUUAGCAGGGGAUAACAUUUGGAAACAGAUGCUAAUACCGUAUAACAAUGACAACCGCAUGGUUGUUAUUUAAAAGAUGGUUCUGCUAUCACUAAGAGAUGGUCCCGCGGUGCAUUAGCUAGUUGGUAAGGUAAUGGCUUACCAAGGCGAUGAUGCAUAGCCGAGUUGAGAGACUGAUCGGCCACAAUGGGACUGAGACACGGCCCAUACUCCUACGGGAGG
Molecule: ribosomal RNA, 388 nt
Filed under: Weissella confusa
Lineage: Bacteria; Bacillati; Bacillota; Bacilli; Lactobacillales; Lactobacillaceae
Description: bacterial SSU rRNA
Rfam family: Bacterial small subunit ribosomal RNA
Source: RNAcentral